RNAcentral lists this long non-coding RNA (1314 nucleotides) under Callithrix jacchus (white-tufted-ear marmoset). RNAcentral's name for it is "lncRNA (ENSCJAG00000079119.1)". Lineage: Eukaryota; Metazoa; Chordata; Mammalia; Primates; Cebidae. The record is from RNAcentral.
GGGUAAGGUAGGAGGAUUGCCUGAGCCCAGGAAUUCAAGGCUGUGCCACUGCACUCCAGUCUGGGCGGCAGUGAGAUCCUGCCUCUAAAUACAGUACAAUGCAAUACAAGACAAGACAAGACAAAAAUGAAGUUUGCCACAUCAAUUGAGCGUUUCACAGAAAAAUUUAUUUGUAGCAUGUGAUGCUCUAUGGUAGCAUUUUAACCAGAGAACUUUUUAAAAAAACUGAAGUUGAUUCUCUCAAACCUUUCUAUUGCUUUAUUAACAUUGUUGUUUUAACAAUAUUCACAGCAUCUUCACCAAAAGUAGAUUCCAUCUCAAGAAACCACUUUCCUCAUUCAUCCAUGAGAAACAACUCCAACUCCUCAUCCAUUCAAGUUUUAUUACGAGAUUGCUGCAAUCUAGUCACAUCUCUCCCAUUCUUUUUCUUUUUUUAAGACGAUCUUACUCUGUCACCCAGGCUGGAAUGCAGUGGCACGAUCAUGUCUCACUGCAAAUUUUGCCUCCUGAGCUCAAGGAAUCCUCCCACCUUGGCCUCUUGAGUGGCUGGGACUAUAGUUACAUGCCACCAUGUCCAGCUAAUUUUUUUUUUAUAGAGAUGGGGUUUUUCCCUGUUGCCCUGGCUGAUCUUGAACCCCUGGGCUCAAGUGAUCCACCCCACAAAGUGCUGGUAUUACAGGCAUGAGCCACUGUGUCCAACCCGGGCUCCACUUAACCCUUUGAAGUCAUCCAUGAGGAUGGGAACCAACUUCUUCCAAACUCCAGUUAAUGUUGGUAUUUUCACUUCCUGUCGUGAAUCAUGAAUUUCUUUUUUUCAGAUGGAGUCUCACCCUGUCACCCAGACUGGAGUGCAAUGGCACAAUCUUGGCUCACUGCAACCUCUGCCUCCUGGUACAAAAGCAAGAGCCUGUAAUUCCUCCCUGUGCUCUCUGUUGCUUGGAGACAGAGAUGUAUAUUAUCAUGUUAGGAUCCUCACAAUUCACAGGCUGCCCCUUCCUUUACACCACCUCUUAUGGAAUGAACAUACCACAUCUUGGUUCACCUUCUCUCAGUCAAAUGUAGUGAACUCUGGGACAAAUGGGGUUGGACUUAUUUUCCCGGAGAUGAUAUCUGUAUGAAGGGCAAGGUAAGUGAGAUUUAAAAAAGGAAUCUCUACAGUUUUCUAUGUCAGUGGCAGAAUAAGAGUGGAUAGAUAGGCUUAGACCAAUGCAGGAGAGGUUAGGUUUAACACUGGGUAGAACAAACAGUGUUUGGAAUUGGGAGACACCGGACUCUGAAACAUUAGUACUUUUUAAGACCUGGGUGUCAUCUUUU